Pteropus alecto (black flying fox) is the source of this 774-nucleotide long non-coding RNA. RefSeq lists it as uncharacterized. The transcript is spliced from 3 exons. The record is from RefSeq and is a predicted model, not a curated record. Lineage: Eukaryota; Metazoa; Chordata; Mammalia; Chiroptera; Pteropodidae.
AAACAACAGUUUUUUUUUGUUUUGUUUUGUUUUUCGCAGACCACGUACUUUACCCACACCAGAACCAACCAACCGAGUUAAUGACCAGAAAAGGAAUCGGCCAUUAUUAAAAAGAAAGGAAACAGGUGACUUGGGUAGUCAUUGAAUUAAGCUGGACUUGAAAGAUAAUGAACAAGGAUACCUGGAUGGUGGCAGUAUUACUGACUGAGAAGUGGAAUGCAGGGAGACAAAGAGAACUGCAGUGGGCACGCUGAAUUAAAAGCAUCUGAAAGGAAAAACAAAUGGCUAUAUCUGGUAGGUAGAUGAGUAUGGAACUCAGAAGAGAUGUCUAGGUUGAAGAUUGAAAAAUACAAUGAUCAUCAGUUGUUUGUUGAAUCUCCGGGCAUAGAUGAGAGUGCUCAGAAUAAAGUAUAUGGUGAGAAGAGGAGAGACCAAAGGAUGGAAUACUGGGGAAUAGCCCACUUAAAAUUUAAGCAGAGGAAGAGAAGCCCAUGUAGGACAGCAAACAUACAUGGCCAGAGAAACAGGAGGAAAACAGGGAGAGAGCAGUGCCAUAGAUACAUUUGUUGACUUGCUCAAUAAAUGACAGGGCAGAGAGUUUAAAGGCUCUGGGAAUAAUCAGCAGUAGAGAAAUCAAGUAUGACAAGGACUGAUGACUUGAGAAAUAAUUUCAUUGAUAUGGUAAGAGUAGAAGCCAGAUUGUAGGUGCGAAGUACCAGUGAGAGUUGAAAGAGCACACUUUUGGAUUUCAUUUUUAAAAAUUUCAAAAUCCUC